This 253-nucleotide ribosomal RNA is filed under the name uncultured bacterium. RNAcentral's name for it is "partial 16S ribosomal RNA". It matches the Rfam family "Bacterial small subunit ribosomal RNA", at positions 524 to 776 of the family's 1533-position model. RNAcentral also lists the same sequence under 1 other name. The record is from RNAcentral.
UACGUAGGGUGCAAGCGUUAAUCGGAAUUACUGGGCGUAAAGCGUGCGCAGGCGGUUAUGUAAGACAGAUGUGAAAUGCCCGGGCUUAACCUGGGAACUGCAUUUGUGACUGCAUGGCUAGAGUUUGGCAGAGGGGGGUAGAAUUCCACGUGUAGCAGUGAAAUGCGUAGAUAUGUGGAGGAACACCGAUGGCGAAGGCAGCCCCCUGGGUCAAGACUGACGCUCAUGCACGAAAGCGUGGGGAGCAAACAGG